UACGAAGGGGGCUAGCGUUGUUCGGAAUUACUGGGCGUAAAGCGCACGUAGGCGGCUUUGUAAGUUAGAGGUGAAAGCCCCGGGCUCAACCUGGGAAUUGCAUUCGAGACUGCGUAGCUAGGGUGCGGAAGAGGGAAGCGGAAUUUCCGGUGUAGCGGUGAAAUGCGUAGAUAUCGGAAGGAACACCAGUGGCGAAAGCGGCUUCCUGGUCCAGCACCGACGUUCAGGCACGAAAGCGUGGGGAGCAAACAGG
This 253-nucleotide ribosomal RNA is filed under the name uncultured bacterium. RNAcentral describes it as "partial 16S ribosomal RNA". It matches the Rfam family "Bacterial small subunit ribosomal RNA", at positions 524 to 776 of the family's 1533-position model. The record is from RNAcentral.